UAAUACGUAGGGUGCUAGCGUUGUUCGGAAUCAUUGGGCGUAAAGCGCGUGUAGGUGGUUAGUUAAGUCGGGUGUGAAAUCCCUGGGCUCAACCGAGGAAGUGCAUCCGAAACUAACUAGCUGGAGUAUGGUAGAGGAAGGUGGAAUUCCUAGUGUAGAGGUGAAAUUCGUAGAUAUUAGGAGGAAUACCGGUGGCGAAGGCGGCCUUCUGGACCAUUACUGACACUGAGACGCGAAAGCGUGGGGAGCAAACAGGAUUAGAUACCCUGGUAGUCCACGCCGUAAACGAUGGGUACUAGAUGUUGCGGGAAUUGACCCCUGCAGUGUCGACGCUAACGCAUUAAGUACCCCGCCUGGGAAGUACGGCCGCAAGGUUA
This 377-nucleotide ribosomal RNA is filed under the name uncultured bacterium. RNAcentral describes it as "bacterial SSU rRNA". It matches the Rfam family "Bacterial small subunit ribosomal RNA", at positions 521 to 896 of the family's 1533-position model. The record is from RNAcentral.